This 468-nucleotide ribosomal RNA is filed under the name uncultured bacterium. RNAcentral's name for it is "partial 16S ribosomal RNA". It matches the Rfam family "Bacterial small subunit ribosomal RNA", at positions 28 to 507 of the family's 1533-position model. The record is from RNAcentral.
GACGAACGCUGGCGGCGUGCUUAACACAUGCAAGUCGAACGGCAAGGCCCUGCUUUUUUUGGGUUCUCGAGUGGCGAACGUGUGAGUAACCCGUGAGUAACCUGCCCUUUACUUUGUGAUAACUUCAUGAAACUGGUGCUAAUACCGGAUAUGAUCUCCUGCUGCAUGGUGUUGUUUGGAAAUUUUCGGCGGUUGGGGAUGGACUCGCGGCUUAUCAGCUUGUUGGUGGGGUAGUGGCUUACCAAGGCUUUGACGGGUAGCCGGCAUGAGAGGGUGACCGGCCACAUUGGGACGGAGAUACGGCACAGAGUCGAACGGGAGGCAGCAGUGGGGAAUAUUGCACAAUGGGCGGAAGCCUGAUGCAGCAACGCCGCGUGCGGGAUGACGGCCUUCGGGUUGUAAACCGCUUUAGCAUGUGACGAAGCGUGAGUGACGGUAAUGGGUAAAGAAGCACCGGCUAACUACGUG